This 172-nucleotide long non-coding RNA is filed under the name Marmota monax (woodchuck). The record is from RNAcentral. Lineage: Eukaryota; Metazoa; Chordata; Mammalia; Rodentia; Sciuridae.
GCUGACCCCUGCUGGAACUUCGCCUCAGCCCAGGAAUGACUCCGCCCACUGUCAGUGGCCCGCCAGAGCUCAGGCUCCGCCCUGCACUGACUCUGCCUACUGGAAGACACCUGCUAGAGUUCAGCCCCAGCCCAGGUCAGCCUCUCUGUCAGGCAUGGGAGCCUGGCCCAAG